GACGAACGCUGGCGGCGUGCUUAACACAUGCAAGUCGAACGGAAAGGCCCUGCUUUUGUGGGGUGCUCGAGUGGCGAACGGGUGAGUAACACGUGAGUAACCUGCCCUUGACUUUGGGAUAACUUCAGGAAACUGGGGCUAAUACCGGAUAGGAGCUCCUGCUGCAUGGUGGGGGUUGGAAAGUUUCGGCGGUUGGGGAUGGACUCGCGGCUUAUCAGCUUGUUGGUGGGGUAGUGGCUUACCAAGGCCUUGACGGGUAGCCGGCCUGAGAGGGUGACCGGCCACAUUGGGACUGAGAUACGGCCCAGACUCCUACGGGAGGCAGCAGUGGCGAAUAUUGCACAAUGGGCGGAAGCCUGAUGCAGCAACGACGCGUGCGGGAUGACGGCCUUCGGGUUGUAAACCGCUUUCGCCUGUGACGAAGCGUGAGUGACGGUAAUGGGUAAAGAAGCACCGGCUAACUACGUG
RNAcentral lists this ribosomal RNA (468 nucleotides) under uncultured bacterium. Its description in RNAcentral is "partial 16S ribosomal RNA". It matches the Rfam family "Bacterial small subunit ribosomal RNA", at positions 28 to 507 of the family's 1533-position model. The record is from RNAcentral.